Long non-coding RNA from Esox lucius (northern pike), 1318 nucleotides. RefSeq lists it as uncharacterized. NCBI's taxonomy places the organism in Eukaryota, Metazoa, Chordata, Actinopteri, Esociformes, Esocidae. The record is from RefSeq and is a predicted model, not a curated record. The transcript is spliced from 3 exons.
GUCAGUCUGGCACUCAGUCAGUCAGUCAGUAAGAGACAUUCGCUCUUCGCUCUUACGCGGUCCGGUAAAAAACAGUGAACUUAAGAAACAAAAGGAACAAUAUUUUAGAUUAUUUGAAUGCCCUUUUAGAAUGAUAAUUUUAAGUGGCGCUUUGUAGAAUCCUGCUUCAAACGUUUACAAAAGGUGGAGGCGGUCCACCAAUCCUCCAUGUCACACUGACUGAUGGACAGGUCACAAAGGACCUCAAACCUCUCAGGAGGAGAUGGAGUCUGGUUGAUCCGGGGAACACCUAGAAAGAGGGGACAGCAAGCCAUCCAUCAAACCCCACCAAGGGCUUCCUCCUGGGGAGACCUCCUACCACGAGCCCCCUCUCCACCUGGCUGGUCUGCAGCACUCCAGAGAGAGAGAGAGAAAGAAAGAGAGAGUUAAAUUAAGAGUUAUGUACACAUCCUUAUAGUCACAUAGUAUUUUCAUACAUCUUUAUGGGUCCUAUAUCAACACAUUUUCAGCUGAAAUUAAAGAACAAAUAAUGAUGGCACAGAAAAAUGUACAGUACCUAUUUGAAUAGGAACAGCCUGCUCAGGGGUACCUUCCCAUUUGUCAAGACAGCAGUACAAUGCCUUACCAACACCUGAAAGUCUGCAUUAUCCUGCAACCAAUUUAUUUCUGAAAGCUUUUGUGUUCUGGAGCGCAUUCUGGGGUAAAAUAUCACUGUAAAUCUUCCAAAUCGACUGUAUUUGCAAUUCAAGAGAUGGAUUUAUGUCGAUAUUCGUUGGCUUAGAUUUGCAAUAGGAAAAUCAUGGCACUCGAUCACAACAUUGGCUCCUGGCGUCCAUCUUAGACUAGAGAAAUAUCAAUAUGUCCUGCGACACGGCACAGUGGGGGGAAUUAUGUCAACCCGAUGACUCGGCUCUUACAUGAAUUCAUUUCCUCCUGCCGUCGCCCUCCACAAUUCCUCGACUCGCCACACUCGACAACUAUUUGAGAGAGUUGGGUCGCAUGAAUGUCCAAGCUGGCGGAGUGCCGAUCGGAUUUAGUCAUUAAUCGUCAUGGGAACAAACAGCCCACCCCGGGAAGCAAUGUGACCCCACACGGCUCCAGAGGUUCACAUCACUCCCACUGGCGGCAGGAUAUUCUCACAGCGCCAAAGCUGAUUCCCUGAUUUUCUUUUGUUGCCUUGACUUAUGUUUGUCGUGUGGUUUCAGGUCUGGAAGCCUGAUGAGUUUAAAUAGAAAAUGAAGUGUUGUCGCAUUAUGCUUUACCUCAUGACCCGAUUUGGUUCCCGGCUCCACCUAUUAUGUAUUGGGGCUGUAGUCAU